UUUCUUUUCUUUAAUUUCCUUCUUCCCUUUCCUCGCCGAAACCCCCCGCGCGUCUCUCUUCCUUUCCCCGCCGAAGCCCUCUUGAGCCCUAACCGUCGGCAGUUCCUCCUCUCCCUCGUGUGCAUAAGGUCGGGACCAAGAGAAGCCGACAUUUCUCUUCUCCCUCUCCUCAGCCGAGCGACCUCCCUUGUGCCCUAGCGAGCCCGACGCCGAUUUCUCUUUUUCCUCUUCUCUCCCGAGCCGCACACUGCCGGCCGCUUGUCCUCAGCAAAGGAGCGCGUCGCCGAUCGCCGUGCCCUAGCCGAUGCCACCACCACCGUCUUCCUCAGCCCUAGCAUCGAUCAAGUUCCCAUCUCUGCCCUAGCACCGGCUGUGGCCAUUGUUCCUUGCCGACGCCGCUGUCAUCGCUCAACCUGAGCAGCGCCUCUGCCCUAGAUCGGAUCUACUUCAAUCGUUGAGGCGCAGAUCUGCUGCCAUAGAAGCCACAUGUUUCAGCAGGGCCUCGCCUGAUCUAUGGUCAUCAUAGGAAGUUAGGGGAAGAGGUUAUUUCUUGGGUUCCAACAACUAUCCCUAUUCUGGCAGCAACAUCACCGGCUGAGGCUUCAGAAUUAGGAGUUUGACGCAAGACGAGUAUCUCGACGUCGGAUUUGGACUGGAUACGACCCUUAUAUU
Molecule: long non-coding RNA, 672 nt
Organism: Zingiber officinale
Lineage: Eukaryota; Viridiplantae; Streptophyta; Magnoliopsida; Zingiberales; Zingiberaceae
Exons: 3
Source: RefSeq, a predicted model, not a curated record